This 816-nucleotide long non-coding RNA is filed under the name Salvia miltiorrhiza (redroot sage). RNAcentral describes it as "long non-coding RNA (SMIL_LNC000146)". The record is from RNAcentral. Lineage: Eukaryota; Viridiplantae; Streptophyta; Magnoliopsida; Lamiales; Lamiaceae.
UCGACUCGCCAUCGAUUGUUGCCACCCAUUGAGAUCUCUAAAUCCUGACGCCUCACCCCCCUCGUCGCUCGACUGCACCUCCGCCUCAUUGUCUACGCUAUCACCAGGUACACCAUUUUCGACAGCACCAAACGGAGCAGCUUAUUAGGUUAAGUGGUUUUGAGUAUUCUUUGUUUUUUAAUUUGCUAAUGUAGUUGUGAUACCUAUAAUUUCUUCACUUUGUCUCUGCACUUCAAUUUGCUAAGGUUUUUGUUAAGUUCUUCAAUUUGUCUCUACAUUUGCUAAGGUUUUUGUUUGAGAAUUUUGAAGAACCGAGAGUCUUGGAAAAGAGAGGAUUUGAACCGAGAGUCAGCCACACACACACUACUGCAUUCUUCGAUUUCUGCUGUGAAACGUUUAAAUAACGUGAUUGAUUUGUUAGAUUUAAAUAACGAUUUAACCUAUGCAGGAAUUGCAAAACUAUCCUCGUUAGAUUAUACUUGACUCGGUGUUUCUGUAAAUUUUGAUUUUUUUCUUUACCUGUAUUUGUUUUGGCUUGGUUAACUAAGUAAUACUUCUGAAUAAAUUGUAAUUGGCUAAAUUUCAGGAAGUACUCGUACUUCUUUGUUUAUGUUUUGAACUCAUGUUGUGCAUGUGGUGUAGCAUCUAAUACAAAUAAGAAGAUUUCAGAGCUAGAUGUAUACACUGUUUCUGUCACUUUAUGUUAUUUUUGUCAAUAGCUGAAUCCAGACUGUGGUGACCUCAGAAAUCUUAGUUCUUAGCUGUGGGAGGUAUAUUCAACCGGUAAAUCCUGAACUUCGUAGCUUCAUUCNNNNN